Non-coding RNA from Gossypium hirsutum (cotton), 87 nucleotides. NCBI's taxonomy places the organism in Eukaryota, Viridiplantae, Streptophyta, Magnoliopsida, Malvales, Malvaceae. The record is from Rfam.
CACGUCAGCGCGCUUUGCUGACAUGGCAACAAAUCGCGCUUCAGAGGACGCGAUUUGUGUCCACAUCAGCAAAUCGUGCUGACGUGG